AUUGAACGCUGGCGGCAUGCUUUACACAUGCAAGUCGAGCGGCAGCGCGGGGGCAACCCUGGCGGCGAGCGGCGAACGGGUGAGUAAUGCAUCGGAACGUACCCUGGAGUGGGGGAUAACGCCGCGAAAGCGGCGCUAAUACCGCAUAUGCUCUGAGGAGGAAAGUGGGGGACCGCAAGGCCUCACGCUCUGGGAGCGGCCGAUGUCCGAUUAGCUAGUUGGUGAGGUAAAGGCUUACCAAGGCGACGAUCGGUAGCUGGUCUGAGAGGAUGAUCAGCCACACUGGGACUGAGACACGGCCCAGACUUCUACGGGAGGCAGCAGUGGGGAAUUUUGGACAAUGGGGGCAACCCUGAUCCAGCCAUGCCGCGUGAGUGAAGAAGGCCUC
This 388-nucleotide ribosomal RNA is filed under the name uncultured bacterium. RNAcentral describes it as "bacterial SSU rRNA". It matches the Rfam family "Bacterial small subunit ribosomal RNA", at positions 29 to 418 of the family's 1533-position model. The record is from RNAcentral.